RNAcentral lists this ribosomal RNA (255 nucleotides) under uncultured bacterium. Its description in RNAcentral is "partial 16S ribosomal RNA". It matches the Rfam family "Bacterial small subunit ribosomal RNA", at positions 524 to 776 of the family's 1533-position model. The record is from RNAcentral.
UACGUAGGGUGCAAGCGUUUGUCCGGAAUUAUUGGGCGUAAAGAGCUCGUAGGCGGUUCGUCGCGUCGGCUGUGAAAACCUGAGGCUCAACCUCAGGCCUGCAGUCGAUACGGGCGGACUAGAGUGCGGUAGGGGAGAUUGGAAUUCCUGGUGUAGCGGUGGAAUGCGCAGAUAUCAGGAGGAACACCGAUGGCGAAGGCAGAUCUCUGGGCCGUAACUGACGCUGGAGGAGCGAAAGCGUGGGGAGCGAACAGG